ACUUAUCACCAGGCACUGUAGGAAGUACCCUCCUUGAAACCAGACUCUGUUUGGUCUGGCUGCUGCCCUUGCUGCUACUGCUAAUACAUCUUCCUCCUAUUAAGCAGACAUCAUUAAACAACCAACCAUGAUAAACGUAAACCUCAUACUCCUCAUAGUGAGCUGUUCUCUCCUUAUCUUAAUUAUAUCGUUAUUGACACUACUGUUCCAGUUGAUCAUGGGUAAAAAAUCACCCAAGAAGUUGUAUCCUGGAGGGAAAAAAGUAACUGCAAUUCGAAACCACAUUCCCUUCGUUCCACUUAGCAUCAACCGCAUACUUUUAGCCAGUGGUGUUCGACGUGGUCCUGGUAAAAAGCAAGCAUCAGUCAAGACAAAUUCACUCAACAGCAAGGUAGACAAACUAGAACAGUUUAUGAUGAUAAAAGGCCUGUAUGAUUGCGUGAAAAUCAUCAAGAAACCCACUCGAAAGCCAGACAAGGAUUCUGACAGCGAUGGUAACAAUUAAAACACUGAUGCUAUGCAGUUGUUUGUGGCAACAUAAAAAAAUGAUGCAUUAAAAGAAUGUGGGUGUCAGAUUCA
Molecule: long non-coding RNA, 579 nt
Organism: Mus musculus (house mouse)
Lineage: Eukaryota; Metazoa; Chordata; Mammalia; Rodentia; Muridae
Product: predicted gene 28269
Exons: 2
Source: RefSeq, marked validated